RNAcentral lists this ribosomal RNA (229 nucleotides) under uncultured bacterium. RNAcentral describes it as "partial 16S ribosomal RNA". It matches the Rfam family "Bacterial small subunit ribosomal RNA", at positions 568 to 796 of the family's 1533-position model. The record is from RNAcentral.
UGUGUAGGCGGGUGAUUAAGUCAGUGGUGAAAUCCUGCAGCUUAACUGUAGAACUGCCAUUGAAACUGAUCUUCUUGAGUACAGUUGAGGUAGGCGGAAUGUGUAAUGUAGCGGUGAAAUGCUUAGAUAUUACACAGAACACCGAUUGCGUAGGCAGCUUACUAAACUGAUACUGACGCUGAGGCACGAAAGCGUGGGGAGCGAACAGGAUUAGAUACCCUGGUAGUCC